GAGACAAUGACGAGCUUGUCAUCGACAACAAACUUCAUUUUCUGAUGCAAAGUAGAAGUCACUGCCCCAGCAGCAUGUAUCCAUGGACGUCCCAAAAGGCAGCUAUAAGCGGGAUUUAUGUCCAUGACUUGGAAAUUGAUGGGGAAUACAUGCGGUCCGAUUUGGAUUGGUAGCUCUACCUCCCCAACUACUGUCCUCCAAGAACCAUC
This 209-nucleotide long non-coding RNA is filed under the name Lathyrus oleraceus (garden pea). RNAcentral's name for it is "Pisum sativum (pea) long non-coding RNA (PSAT_LNC001147)". Lineage: Eukaryota; Viridiplantae; Streptophyta; Magnoliopsida; Fabales; Fabaceae. The record is from RNAcentral.